UGGGGAAUUUUGGACAAUGGGCGAAAGCCUGAUCCAGCAAUGCCGCGUGUGUGAAGAAGGCCUUCGGGUUGUAAAGCACUUUUGUCCGGAAAGAAAUCCUUGGCUCUAAUACAGUCGGGGGAUGACGGUACCGGAAGAAUAAGCACCGGCUAACUACGUGCCAGCAGCCGCGGUAAUACGUAGGGUGCAAGCGUUAAUCGGAAUUACUGGGCGUAAAGCGUGCGCAGGCGGUUUGCUAAGACCGAUGUGAAAUCCCCGGGCUCAACCUGGGAACUGCAUUGGUGACUGGCAGGCUAGAGUAUGGCAGGAGGGGGGUAGAAUCCCACGUGUAGCAGUGAAAUGCGUAGAGAUGUGGAGGAAUACCGAUGGCGAAGGCAGCCCCCUGGGCCAAUACUGACGCUCAUGCACGAAAGCGUGGGGAGCAAACAGGAUUAGAUACCCUGGUAGUCCACGCCCUAAACGAUGUCAACUAGUUGUUGGGGAUUCAUUUCCUUAGUAACGUAGCUAACGCGUGAAGUUGACCGCCUGGGGAGUACGGUCGCAAGAUUAAAACUUAAAUGAAUUGACGGGGU
Molecule: ribosomal RNA, 572 nt
Filed under: uncultured bacterium
Lineage: Bacteria
Description: partial 16S ribosomal RNA
Rfam family: Bacterial small subunit ribosomal RNA
Source: RNAcentral